Molecule: ribosomal RNA, 475 nt
Filed under: Sulfitobacter dubius
Lineage: Bacteria; Pseudomonadati; Pseudomonadota; Alphaproteobacteria; Rhodobacterales; Roseobacteraceae
Description: bacterial SSU rRNA
Rfam family: Bacterial small subunit ribosomal RNA
Source: RNAcentral
AUGAGGUCUUCGGAUCGUAAGCACUCUCGCCAGGGAUGAUAAUGACAGUACCUGGUAAAGAAACCCCGGCUAACUCCGUGCCAGCAGCCGCGGUAAUACGGAGGGGGUUAGCGUUGUUCGGAAUUACUGGGCGUAAAGCGCGCGUAGGCGGAUUGGAAAGUUGGGGGUGAAAUCCCGGGGCUCAACCCCGGAACUGCCUCCAAAACUAUCAGUCUAGAGUUCGAGAGAGGUGAGUGGAAUUCCAAGUGUAGAGGUGAAAUUCGUAGAUAUUUGGAGGAACACCAGUGGCGAAGGCGGCUCACUGGCUCGAUACUGACGCUGAGGUGCGAAAGUGUGGGGAGCAAACAGGAUUAGAUACCCUGGUAGUCCACACCGUAAACGAUGAAUGCCAGUCGUCGGGCAGUAUACUGUUCGGUGACACACCUAACGGAUUAAGCAUUCCGCCUGGGGAGUACGGUCGCAAGAUUAAAACUCA